Molecule: ribosomal RNA, 811 nt
Filed under: uncultured bacterium
Lineage: Bacteria
Description: bacterial SSU rRNA
Rfam family: Bacterial small subunit ribosomal RNA
Source: RNAcentral
CGGGAGCAAUCCUGGUGGCGAGUGGCGAACGGGUGAGUAAUGUAUCGGAACGUACCUUUCAGUGGGGGAUAACGUAGCGAAAGUUACGCUAAUACCGCAUAUUCUGUGAGCAGGAAAGCAGGGGAUCGCAAGACCUUGCGCUGAUUGAGCGGCCGAUAUCAGAUUAGCUAGUUGGUGAGGUAAAGGCUCACCAAGGCGACGAUCUGUAGCGGGUCUGAGAGGAUGAUCCGCCACACUGGAACUGAGACACGGUCCAGACUCCUACGGGAGGCAGCAGUGGGGAAUUUUGGACAAUGGGGGCAACCCUGAUCCAGCCAUGCCGCGUGAGUGAAGAAGGCCUUCGGGUUGUAAAGCUCUUUCAGCCGGGAAGAAAUCACAUGGGUUAAUACCCUGUGUGGAUGACGGUACCGGAAUAAGAAGCACCGGCUAACUACGUGCCAGCAGCCGCGGUAAUACGUAGGGUGCGAGCGUUAAUCGGAAUUACUGGGCGUAAAGCGUGCGCAGGCGGUUUGUUAAGAUAGGCGUGAAAUCCCCGGGCUCAACCUGGGAACUGCGUUUAUGACUGGCAGGCUAGAGUAUGGCAGAGGGGGGUGGAAUUCCACGUGUAGCAGUGAAAUGCGUAGAGAUGUGGAGGAACACCGAUGGCGAAGGCAGCCCCCUGGGCCAAUACUGACGCUCAUGCACGAAAGCGUGGGUAGCAAACAGGAUUAGAUACCCUGGUAGUCCACGCCCUAAACGAUGUCAACUGGUUGUUGGGGGAGUGAAAUCCCUUAGUAACGAAGCUAACGCGUGAAGUUGACCGCCUGGGGAG